RNAcentral lists this long non-coding RNA (5569 nucleotides) under Heterocephalus glaber (naked mole-rat). RNAcentral describes it as "lncRNA (ENSHGLG00100040732.1)". The record is from RNAcentral. Lineage: Eukaryota; Metazoa; Chordata; Mammalia; Rodentia; Bathyergidae.
GGAAAGUCAGCCUGUGUACCGGAAAGUCUCAGCAGAGGGUAGGCUCUGGAAAGAGCUAUUUAACCUGACGUAUGUCACCAAGUGACUCAGCCUCUCCUGAGUUCUGACUAGGCUGCAAAGACAGAUGUCUGGGGCUCUUUGGGUUCAUGGAUUAUUGACAAGUAACCCUCUUCCCCAUUUCCUUGGGGUGCUGAGUCCUGUGUUGAGCUAGCACUUUGGCCAAAGGAAGUUUGCAAGAGACUGGUAUUUCAUCAGCUCCUCGAGCAGAAUGACUCACCUGUUACUAAAUGGACACUCACAAAGCCAGGAAAGCUCCAGGAAGUCUGGGAUCUGCAGUUCAAGGCCACCACAUCACCGGCCCCCCGUGGGAGUGAGUGGGACCCAGGAGAUGGGUCUGAAGGAGGAAGAAGGGCAGCUGGAAGAGACAGAGCCCCUUUCCAACAGGGCCAGAGGGAGGUCACCUUGGAGACCCCUGGAUGGUACCAUUUGCCUUCUCACUUUUGAAAUGUGGAGCUCCAAGAUGAGAAAACUGAGACCUGUGUAGGUCAAUUGACUGACCCAAGAUUCCACAGUUUGUGGCUCACAUUGAAUUGCAGCUCCAGUCUUUUGACCAACAGGGAACUGGUGGUGAUUUUAAAGGAGAAAUAAGAUAUGGAGAAGAAGACUCCAUGGGUUGGAUGAGCCUAGCUAUCAUUCUAUUUUAAAAUGUAAAUGCUUACAUGGCAGCAAUCCCCCAUGCCUGGCUUUAGCUGUGAUUUAAUAAUGGCAUAGUAACAUGUGGAUUGGAUGAGAUUAAUCAGUUCCUUUUUUCUUUAAAGACUUGUUUUGCUAGCUGGCUUCUUACAUAAAAACGAAACCUAACUCAAACUUCUGGUUUUAAAUAAUUCAUUUGAUGACUCAGAUUUAACCAGGUUGUGAGCCUCUUUACAAUUUUCAAAACACUCCUUCAGGAACAAAAAUAACUGUUUUGUUGACUUUAAAAAUUUAGAGGAAUACAUGCUUUCAUCCAUUUCUUUUUUUCCCUCUUUAAGUUGGAAAACACCCUCAUUUGAUCAUCCUCCAAUCAACUAUAAUAUUUUAUAUCAUAGUUGUAUAAUAACUGUAGCAUUCAUCUACAGCCCCUCCCCCAAUUCAGUCAUUAUUUAGAUGUGAGUAAUAAUGCCCAGCAGCAUUAACAAACCAGGGAAAAAUUUAAAUUUUAAGUAUAGGAAAAUUUAAAGCUUGGAAUUAAUGUUAUUUCCAGUUUCUCUAGUGCCACUUCUCAAUAUUUUCUCUAAAGCAUUCUGAGGGCUUGAGCUAGCUACUGUCUUCUAAUAUUGUCCUAUGUGUUACAGUCACAAAAAUGAGCAAGAUGUGCUUCCUGCCAUAGCAAGUAUAUCCUAGAAGCAUAUAAAAAAGUAUGUUGGGAACCAGAAGGAGGAGCAAAUAAAUCAGACUGGGCAGGUGGGGCAUCAUAAGGCUUUUAACUGAAAUGAAUGCUUACAGAGGAAUUUUUAGGAGCUGAGGGGGAAGGAACUGAAAAAAUGCAGGACGAAAAAGAUCAGUGAGUUUGAAGUUUGGAGCUGCUUUGGAAACGAGUAUUCCAGGACAUCUGCAAAGAGGAGAGUUUGCUUAUGUGGGUGGGGUCAGAAUUGCAGAGGGCUUUGCAGGUUAAGACUUGGAGGUAGGGAAAUAGAGUGAAGGAUUUUAAGUGUAGGUGGCAGAGAAGCCAGGAGUGUGCAUUGAUAGAAGACGAAGUUAAAGAUAUGGCAAGGAAAGCAAAGCUCUGCGGUUGCUAUGGGAUAGGGUGGAAGUCUGGCGUAGUCAGAAUCUGAAGUUGAGGAGGUCAGGGGUAUUAAACACUCAGUGCCAGUGUCUAAGAUCAAUCAUCUAUCUUAAGACAUGGGUAUCAUUCACAGUGUUUUCAAGGAUGGAGGUACAGAAGAAAAUAGCUAUGAGAUAUCCAAAUCCUCAGCAGAUAUCAGGGAAAGUUAGAAGUUUGAUAGAAGAGACAGAUAAAGUAGAGAUGGGAAGUUCCAACACUGGGGCUUUUAUUUCAUGGUGGGAGGGCUGAGCUUUGGAGGAGAAUAGGAGGGAAACGGAAGUCUUCCUCCCAUAAGUCUUGUGCACUUGUAGGAGGUACGAGAAACUGAGUUGGCUUCUCUUCAGGGUGAGUUAUGCAGAGUUUAAAGGAAAAGAGUAUGAAUUUUUAAUCUAAAUUAUUCCGAAAUGAUUAGGUACGUGCUUGCUCAGAAAUGAUUACUAAAAAUUGCAUAAAGAGCUAUGACUGUUCUAUGGAGUAACUGAUCCUAAUUACUCAAUAUUUUUUACAUUUUCCCUGGGCUAUAGGGAUAUGAGUUGCUAUUUAUUGCUAUUUACAGCAAUUGUUCACAUGUUAGUGUCUCAAAUAUAAGCAUUUAGAGUUCAUUUCCCAUCAAUUUGCCUUUGAGUGAACUGUAGUUUUGCAUUUGUGAUUUCAUGAAUAUUUGCUCAUUUUACCAGAAUUUAAUGAGCACUACUGAGUGUUAGAUUCUGGAAGAAGAAAAGGGAGCGUGUUAGAAACAGUCUCUCUUUUCAUAGAGUUUAUGCCUGGGUAGGCGUGGUGUCUCAUUUUAAAAAUCUUACCUUAAACUUAUCUCUUUCCUUUAAGAACCAAAAAUGAGCAACUCUUUCUAGCAACACUGUAAUCUUCCAAGAUGCAUUUAUGGAAAAUUCUCCAUGAGGUGAGCAGGCCUCCUCCACCGAGUGCUCCUGCUAUGCUGUACUCUGCUGCCACAGGCGAAGCAAAAGGACCAAGUAUGCAUGGACUGAAACUAGGAGUUAAGAUGAGUCUUCCCUCCUGUUAAAUCGAUUAUCUCAGAUCCUCUUUUGUUGCCAGUUCAUGGAGCCCAGGUGGUUGCGCAUCAGAUUUUUCCAUCUUGUUUCCCUUUGGAGUUGCUGUAGGUGAUCUGGAAGUCUGUUUUUGAGGCUUGUUUAUGUGUCUUCUCAUUUCCCCAGGGGAUAAGGGUGUGUGCUGCUGGUGCCCGUGCUGCUCACCUCCUCUGCCCUAGGAGUGGUGGAAUGGCAGCGGGAAGCCUCCUCCUGGGCGCUGGGAUUGGCUCACCUCCUCUGCCCUGGGAAUGGUGGAAUGGUUAACUCAUUUCUAAUACUUUGAAAUAUUUGAUUUGAGAUGUUUGGCAUGAAAAGCCCAUUAAAUAAAUGUCAAAUUCCAUUUUAACAUAAACCAUACACUAAAGGGUUUGAUGCUCUUAAUUUUUCCUUGAUUAACUCUGUGUUUUCCCAGGCUCGAAAUAUGACUCUCUAUGGAAGAUUCAAGUUACUUAGGGCUGGGACCCUUGUGUGUGACCAUGGUGGGUUUCCUGUUGAACUUGUGAUGCUACAGCCUUUAAAACUUACAAAGGGUAGUUCUCUUCAGUUCUGUAGGCCCCAUAUCUGGCUUUGAGUUGUGUAUGUACUCCGUAAUUGUUCUCUUUAUUCACAGAAAUUUGCAGACCUCUUCUUGAUUGAUCACUUCAUAGAACGUCAUACUUUUUGACUUGUAAGAUUUGUAAAUAUAUUUUCUGUUGAUUUUUAAAGACUGUCAUAUUAUCUCAAAACAACUGAUAGAAUCUCACUAUAUUUAAAAUUACAUUUUCUAUUAAAAGGUAUGGGUCUUUUUUUGAAUGUGAUUCUGCAUGUUUUCAUAGUCUUAAGAUGUUACAGCUUUGAUGAAUAUUAAAAAUGAUAUCCAGUUAAAUUUUGAAUACCUCACUCAGCUUUUUCUGACUUGCUGUCAAGUUUAUGAAAAUGUUCUAAAAACAAAUAAGCAAGUGUUCAUGCACAAUUGAAAAAUUUCAUAUUCACGUGUCUCCAUUUCACCCACCCCGAACUAUAACUUUUGUUGGUAUAGACAGAGAUGUAUUGAAACUCCUUUUACCAAUUUGAAGAUUAUUUUGGAGAUGUAAACCAAUAUUUUUAAGAAAUCAAGGUAAGAAAAGCAAAAUUUCUAAAUCUACAAUGGAUUAUAUUAAAAGGGAUAGAUUUCAAUAUUUCUUGGUGGGAAUCUUCUACAAGCUAUAGUGCUUAAAGAGAAAAUUCUGGCUUCUAUAUCCAACUAGAUUUUCUUUCAGGAUUCAUUCAACAAACAUUUCUUGGACUCCUUUUAUGUGUCAAGCAUGAUUUCAGGUGAUUUGAGAUAUGUGAGUGAACCAAAUAAGAAAAUACAGAUUCUGUGACCAUUAAGUGUGAGAUGUCAGCUUGACCAGAUUAAGACAUGCCUAGAAGAAUAACAAAGCACAGUUCUGGCCUUUCAGGCAUGAAAUGGAAUGAAGAAAGUUGGCCUAUGACUUUGAAGAGCUCCAGUCUGCUUGAGCCCACAGCCUCUCCACCCUGACCUGGAGGAUUUGAUGACCUUCAGAAUUCAGAGCAUAUUGAUCUACUUCAUAGGCAACAAAUGCUGAAGCCCUGUCUGCUAAUGUGACUUCAGAAGGUUGAAUAUGGAUUUGGAAAGAAUUACCAGCUGCUCACAAAUGUUUUAUAAAUGAUCUGAAACGCAGACACAGAGAAGAAAGACGCUCAGGGUGGAGAAGAAGAAAACUCCCACCCCACAAGCCCGCUGUAAAGAUAAUGCCUAAUUUAUCCAGGAAUAAUCCCUUCAUAUUCUUUAUUGUCAAAUGUGCCAUCACCGUGUAAUUUCAUAUCUGUCACUGUGAGAAAAAGACAGCCAUGUUGUUAUCAUUCCAGCCCUGCAGACAGGAAGCUACAUAAAAAGAUUGUUCAGGUUGAAUAGGUCAAAUACCUGUGGGGAUUGAUAGGACUAAAUAGGAAAUGUGCUGCUGACCUUGUGGAAUUUUCACAAAGGAUCUGCUGGAUCAAAUGGCACUUCUGAGCUCCCCUCCAGAUGGUGACUGUUAUGCUCACCUCUUGAUCUCUUCUGCCACCCACUCUUGGUCCCUGUGGCCGGGACAUCCUGAGUCCAUAAUGACCCCGUGCUGAGCUGUGAAGGACACAACCUGUACCUCUUCAGAAUGUCCACUCACCCUACAGUCAUCCACCAAGGGAGAGAUGCCUUCCAGAUAAGCCAGCCACUUCCCGGCUCCAGCCCUGGGCUGGGCUAAUCUUUCCUUGAUCUUCCGUCACGGUUAUUCACUGUCCUGUGCUCCUGACUCGUACAUCUGCAAAUGAGCAAACAAUGUUCUGGUUGGCUGCACAGAGAUGGAAGAAUACAGUGGACCCUUGAGUUACGACCGGCCUGCCGUAAGACCAGCUUGGGUUGCGACUGGAACUUUAGUUUUAACUUACGACCAAAGUCUUGAGUUACGUCCUGAAUGCUGGCUGCUUGUGCUUCUAGAUGGUCUCAGAUGCAAAUUUAACCCUUGAAGAGUCCUAGAAGGAACAUUACAAGGUCCUUUCCUGUAUGAGGUUAACUGAGGCGUCCUGUGCCAGUGUGUCUCUAAGGAUGUUGAGAUCUGCCUGGAUACAGGACAGAGACUUUGAAGGCUGUGUAGAGGAGCUGAGCCUUCAGUUGACCAACUUGAGUUGAAUAGCCCUUGGGAAGGAGUUGAGUUUGUAAGUCAGGGUCUGCUGUACCUCAAAAUUCCUGGCCCCCGAG